GUAUGUUGUUGAGAAUGAUGUUAAAUUCUUGUUGCCACUUAUUCAGAGCACAGAAUAAGCUAUGACACUCUACUAGAACUAGACUUUCAUUUGAGUUUGCCAUGAGAACAGUGGGUGGAGAGGUUCUAACUACUGAAAAUGCGAGAGAAUUUUCAUCUGCAGCAAAAGGAGAGACACUUGAAGAUACAAUCAGAACAAUUGAGGGUUACUCUGAUAUAAUUGUGAUGCGGCAUUUUGAAAGUGGUGCUGCCAGAAGAACUGCAGCUACAUCUGACAUUCCAAUAAUCAAUGCAGGGGAUGAUCCUGGACAGCAUCCGACUCAGUUAUGCCUAAAAUAGCCAUCAAUGCAGGGUUACUCUCAUAAGAGAGUAUUAUCAACAAAACAGUUAUUUCCAGAGAGAAUGCCUAAUUUUCUUUUCAGUUUUUCUCUAUAUUUUGAGUCAUUCAAUUUUGUUUUAGUCAACUAGAGGUAAACCAUUGUUACUUUAAUUGCUCCAUGAAAUUAGUUCAAGGAAAU
Long non-coding RNA from Glycine soja, 517 nucleotides. RefSeq lists it as uncharacterized. The transcript is spliced from 3 exons. The record is from RefSeq and is a predicted model, not a curated record. Lineage: Eukaryota; Viridiplantae; Streptophyta; Magnoliopsida; Fabales; Fabaceae.